AGUUAUGUUCUUAAAACCUAAAGAAUUUGGCGGUGUUUUAUUCUGUUCAGAGGAACUUGCCCCGUUAUCGAUAGUCCUCGUUUUAUCUUACUUAAUUUUGUGUUCUAUUCAGUAUGUAUACCGCCGUUAUAAGCUUAUUUUUUGAGAAUAUAAUUUGCUAAUAUUUUUAUUAAAAUUUAUUUCAGGUCAAGGUGCAGCUAAUGUUUAAGUGGAGGUGAGUUACAAUAUUUUUGAAUAAAUGGAAUAUUUUGUUUAAAGUUUUUAUGAAGGUGGAUUUGACAGUAAUUUUAUUUAUAAUAUUAUUUUGAUUUUGGAACUAAAACAAGUACACAUCGCCCGUCGCUCUA
Molecule: ribosomal RNA, 347 nt
Filed under: Tisamenus sp. 8 SB-2020
Lineage: Eukaryota; Metazoa; Arthropoda; Insecta; Phasmatodea; Heteropterygidae
Description: partial 12S ribosomal RNA
Source: RNAcentral